RNAcentral lists this transfer RNA (73 nucleotides) under Ursus americanus (American black bear). It matches the Rfam family "tRNA". Rfam says of the family: Transfer RNA (tRNA) molecules are approximately 80 nucleotides in length. Lineage: Eukaryota; Metazoa; Chordata; Mammalia; Carnivora; Ursidae. RNAcentral also lists the same sequence under 2 other names. The record is from Rfam by way of RNAcentral.
AUCUGGCUGGCUCAGUUGGCAGAGCUUGUGACUCUUGAUCUCAGGGUCCUGAGUUUGAAUCCCAUGCUGGGUG